AACUGCACACAGUUCAAUGAAUUUUUUAAAAACAUAUAUUGUAAAUUAUGUAAGAAUAAUAUACGAAUAAUGAACAGAUCCUUAAGUAUGUACAAAUUAUAUACGAUUUAUAAAACAAUUUGACACCGUGUGAAAUAUUUCAAACAGGUCUGUUAAUUAUUCGUAGUAACGCUUAAAUAUUUUAUCUAUCUUAUUUAUAUCUCGAAGAAGACUCAUUCGUCGGUCAAUCGUGUCUGUGAGAAAGACAAGAUAUUUCACGUUCUAGCUUUUAACGAGCCUCGAUUGAAUAUAAUUGACAGUUUUAAUCUCUUUAAUAAGCGAGCACGAUCGUCUAAAGGCGCCGUCAUAAUAAUCACCCAACUUACAAGAGAGAAACUAUCAUUUAUAAAUACAACUGACAAAUUUAUUUCUUUACUCUUUUUUACCCCCCGUUUUCCGUUGGAAUAGAAACGAAUAAAUAAAGGAAAAAACAUCUUAAAAUAAAUACAGGAAGGGGGAAUACUUUGUAAUAUAUCGCACGUUUCGUGAAAGAAAUUCCCAUUAGAAUAAUAUAAACUAAUGAAAGAUAUAAUCCGUAGGUUGAGAAAAGGGAAAAGAAAAAAUAAAAAUCCUCGGUCAUCGUCAUCAUCAUCAUCAUCAUCGCCAUCAAGAACAACGACUUGGCGUGUGUCUGGUGCUGAUAGUUAGACGUCCGACGACCGUGAUGUUGCCGACCGAUUUAAUGGUGGUGGGGUAGAAGAAAUACUUGGGAGUGGUGCUGAGAAUGGUUUGAAUGGGGGUAAGAAGACGCCGGGGGAACCUUUGGAGUAGGGAUUUAAGCGGAAGUGAUGGGGGUAAUCAAGAGGCACGUUGCCCUUGGACGCGCAGUGCCAGUCGGGAACGAAGAGUCUUUGCAAUAGGACUUCAGUGUCGGAGCAACUGGUCCAUCGUGUCUCAUAAAGACCGGGAUAAUAUACAAAGCACGUGGUGAGGAAUGUAAUCUCCGAUGAGAAUCACCGAAUCUCUAACCGUGUACGCAGCGUUAAACAUCUCAACAGGUAUAUUAACGUCAACGUGAAAAGAAGAUACGCGCGUACCGGCAACUUCUAAGAG
Molecule: long non-coding RNA, 1092 nt
Filed under: Polistes fuscatus (common paper wasp)
Lineage: Eukaryota; Metazoa; Arthropoda; Insecta; Hymenoptera; Vespidae
Description: uncharacterized LOC122513425
Source: RNAcentral